This 488-nucleotide ribosomal RNA is filed under the name uncultured bacterium. Its description in RNAcentral is "bacterial SSU rRNA". It matches the Rfam family "Bacterial small subunit ribosomal RNA", at positions 30 to 513 of the family's 1533-position model. The record is from RNAcentral.
AUUGAACGCUGGCGGCAUGCUUUACACAUGCAAGUCGAACGGCAGCACGGGCUUCGGCCUGGUGGCGAGUGGCGAACGGGUGAGUAAUGCAUCGGAACGUGCCCAUUUGUGGGGGAUAACUACGCGAAAGCGUGGCUAAUACCGCAUACGCCCUGAGGGGGAAAGCGGGGGAUUCUUCGGAACCUCGCGCAAUUGGAGCGGCCGAUGUCAGAUUAGCUUGUUGGUGAGGUAAAGGCUCACCAAGGCGACGAUCUGUAGCGGGUCUGAGAGGAUGAUCCGCCACACUGGGACUGAGACACGGCCCAGACUCCUACGGGAGGCAGCAGUGGGGAAUUUUGGACAAUGGGGGCAACCCUGAUCCAGCCAUGCCGCGUGAGUGAAGAAGGCCUUCGGUGUAAGCUCUUCUAGCCGGGAAGAAACGACACUCUCUAAUAUAGGUGUGGAUGACGGUACCGGAAGAAGAAGCACCGGCUAACUACGUGCCAGCA